This 301-nucleotide ribosomal RNA is filed under the name uncultured bacterium. RNAcentral's name for it is "partial 16S ribosomal RNA". It matches the Rfam family "Bacterial small subunit ribosomal RNA", at positions 509 to 809 of the family's 1533-position model. The record is from RNAcentral.
CAGCAGCCGCGGUAAUACGAAGGGUGCAAGCGUUACUCGGAAUUACUGGGCGUAAAGCGUGCGUAGGUGGUGGUUUAAGUCCGUUGUGAAAGCCCUGGGCUCAACCUGGGAAUUGCAGUGGAUACUGGGUCACUAGAGUGUGGUAGAGGAUAGUGGAAUUUCCGGUGUAGCAGUGAAAUGCGUAGAGAUCGGAAGGAACAUCUGUGGCGAAGGCGACUAUCUGGGCCAACACUGACACUGAGGCACGAAAGCGUGGGGAGCAAACAGGAUUAGAGACCCCUGUAGUCCCUGUCUCUUAUCA